Molecule: long non-coding RNA, 983 nt
Filed under: Coffea arabica (coffee)
Lineage: Eukaryota; Viridiplantae; Streptophyta; Magnoliopsida; Gentianales; Rubiaceae
Description: long non-coding RNA (CARA_LNC005967)
Source: RNAcentral
GAUCAUCUGAUACUCACUCAAGUCUCUACUUCUUCUUUCCUACAAACAUCAAUAACUUGAUCAUUGGAGUGACUCCGGGAAUUAGACCCUGGUCCUUCGACAAUUCCUUUGUAUGCUAGCUGGUCAUAUUCAAGAGUUGAUCAAGAGGACAGUUCAUCCAAUCUUAUUCAUGUUAGUUUGGACAAACACAGUUCAUGUCAUCAUAAUAGGUUAGAUGGUGGUAACAUUCUACCUCGUGGGAUCUCAGCGAUCACAAGGCUAGCUCGUCAAGCGCGUAUCACCCAGGUCAAUUUGUUCAAACACCUAGGUCAGCUCAGGAAAGCACAGUUGUCUCAGCAGCUCAACUCACUUGGCUGAACUAUCCAAAUCAAUUCAACUAGUGAAUUUUUUUCUAUAUUUAUAGUUGCCUAUAUAACUAGGUAGCUAAUUAUAAUUGGCAUCAGUUGAGUAAUAACAGAAUCAAUUCUUCUUUCCUUCAAUCUCUCUUUCCUCUCUAUCGCUCUUGAUUAUUCUUCUUCUCCUUCAUAGAGUAACAACUUUCUUUCUGCCAGUAACAUCUUCUAGUUAUUAUUCUAAUUAAAAAUACUAGAAUUACACUAAGCUCUUAAGUUCCAGGGUCUAGAAAUAGUGACAUUGUUGGUAUAGUGACACUGUUGGUACGAUGCAUGCUUCCUUCAUACAGGCACUACCAAAAGGACCCUUUAAGGCACAUUGAUCAUUCAACAGCCGCUAGCCAUUUGAUCGUAAAUUACAUAUAGAAGGUCAUCUAGAAAUAAUUCGGAGUUUUUGUACAUUGGGAUGCCAAUUAGAAAUUUAUUUCCAUCUUCUAGGGAUUGAAAUUUAGUUUAGAGUGUAAUUCUUUGGGGGGGGGCCCUCUGACUGAUGUACAUUCUUGCUCAUCAAUAAAAAAAAUUAUUAGAAGUUAUUAAAAAAAAGAUUUAUGGUGUAUUUGAUAAAACUGAAGUUUAAAAAUUAAAAUCUGA